GCGGGCGAUGCUAAAUGGCUCCUAGACCGAGGUUGACGCGCGGGACUCAAAAUCCCGCGCCGCAAGGCGUGCCGGUUCGAUUCCGGCUCCCGGCACCA
This 98-nucleotide transfer RNA is filed under the name Duganella sp. 1411. Its description in RNAcentral is "tRNA-Leu". The record is from RNAcentral. Lineage: Bacteria; Pseudomonadati; Pseudomonadota; Betaproteobacteria; Burkholderiales; Oxalobacteraceae.